Molecule: ribosomal RNA, 305 nt
Filed under: uncultured bacterium
Lineage: Bacteria
Description: bacterial SSU rRNA
Rfam family: Bacterial small subunit ribosomal RNA
Source: RNAcentral
CCUACGGGGCGCAGCAGUGGGGAAUAUUGCACAAUGGGGGAAACCCUGAUGCAGCGACGCCGCGUGAGUGAAGAAGUAUUUCGGUACGUAAAGCUCUAUCAGCAGGGAAGAAAAUGACGGUACCUGACUAAGAAGCCCCGGCUAACUACGUGCCAGCAGCCGCGGUAAUACGUAGGGGGCAAGCGUUAUCCGGAUUUACUGGGUGUAAAGGGGGCGCAGACGGCGAUGCAAGCCAGGAGUGAAAGCCCGGGGCCCAACCCCGGGACUGCUCUUGGAACUGCGUGGCUAGAGUGCAGGAGGGGCAG